GCGCUCGUCCAUCUUAUAAGUCGUAACGACUCUCGGCAACGGAUAUCUCGGCUCUCGCAUCGAUGAAGAACGUAGCGAAAUGCGAUACUUGGUGUGAAUUGCAGAAUCCCGUGAACCAUCGAGUCUUUGAACGCAAGUUGCGCCCGAGGCCGUCAGGCCGAGGGCACGCCUGCCUGGGCGUCACGCA
RNAcentral lists this ribosomal RNA (187 nucleotides) under Parietaria micrantha. Its description in RNAcentral is "5.8S ribosomal RNA". The stretch from base 28 to 183 matches the Rfam family "5.8S ribosomal RNA". Rfam says of the family: 5.8S ribosomal RNA (5.8S rRNA) is a component of the large subunit of the eukaryotic ribosome. It is transcribed by RNA polymerase I as part of the 45S precursor that also contains 18S and 28S rRNA. Lineage: Eukaryota; Viridiplantae; Streptophyta; Magnoliopsida; Rosales; Urticaceae. The record is from RNAcentral.